CCGUUAAAAUUCCUCAAUCCUUAGAAAAUGGUACACAGAGGAAUAAAAGUUCAGGAAAGAAAAGGAAGCGUCCUUUGCCUGACAAAAGAUGGAGAAAGCACAUUUCUUUUAAAAAAGGUCGUACCCAGUGCACAAGGCUCCCGCUUUACGCAGGGUCUGGGAGAGGUGAAUGUCGGCUAGCCUUACCCCCAUUUAUGGAGAGGCUGCUCCCAAGAGAAAGCACAUUUCUUUUGAGGAAAAUAAUUUGCAUGAAAGUGGUACGUUCAGUGUUGUCACUGCUUAUGGUGGUGUUAGGCAGAUGUAUGGUACAACGACACUCCCAGCUGUGAAGAAGAAAACCAAGAUGAUGUUGGAGAUGUAGAUGAUGAUGAUGAGUAUCCGCAUGUUACCCUAGAACGCAGUGGGAAAUUAAAUGUGGUUUCACAAGUGCUUAAAGUUUGGAAAGGAUCAAGGGCAUCGUGUUCUUCUUUUUUUCGCAAACUCAGCAAAUGCUUGACAUUAUUGAAAGUUUUCUGGUUGCUGAUGGUUAUAGUUACUGGAGGAUGGAUUGUCUUACUCCCAUCAAACAGAGGAUGGCCUUAAUAGAUGAAUUUAACAACUCAAGUGAUGUGGUUGUUUUCCUUUUAACAACUAAGGUGGGUGGUUUAGGAACAAAUCUGACAGGUGCAAAUAGGGUGAUCAUCUUUGAUCCCAACUGGAACCCUUCAACUGACAUGCAGGUAUAUGAUGGUGGACUUACUAUUCUUCUAGUUUUCAGUUUGAUGCAAAUGUUUGAACUUGGAAACUUGUCUUCUCCUCUGUAAAAUUGUACGAUAGAAUCAUAGAUAUGUCCCCCUUGCAAAAUUAUGAACAUUUUAGGAGGAUGGAUCCUUCUAUUAUAUUUCUUAUUGAAGUAAUACCUACAGGAUUUUCGUUAAACCUUGUUUAGAAUAGUUGAUUUGUGCCUUGUUAAACCUUGUAAUCUGGGU
Non-coding RNA from Malus domestica (apple), 968 nucleotides. Lineage: Eukaryota; Viridiplantae; Streptophyta; Magnoliopsida; Rosales; Rosaceae. The record is from RefSeq and is a predicted model, not a curated record.